AACGAACGCUGGCGGCAUGCCUAACGCAUGCAAGUCGAACGAGACCUUCGGGUCUAGUGGCGCACGGGUGCGUAACGCGUGGGAACCUGCCCUUAGGUUCGGAAUAACUCCCCGAAAGGGGUGCUAAUACCGGAUAAUGUCUUCGGACCCAAGAUUUAUCGCCUUUGGAUGGGCCCGCGUUGGAUUAGCUAGUUGGUAGGGUAAAAGCCUACCAAGGCGACGAUCCAUAGCUGGUCUGAGAGGAUGAUCAGCCACACUGGGACUGAGACACGGCCCAGACUCCUACGGGAGGCAGCAGUGGGGAAUAUUGGACAAUGGGCGAAAGCCUGAUCCAGCAAUGCCGCGUGAGUGAUGAAGGCCUUAGGGUUGUAAAGCUCUUUUACCCGGGAUGAUAAUGACAGUACCGGGAGAAUAAGCUCCGGCUAACUCCGU
RNAcentral lists this ribosomal RNA (432 nucleotides) under uncultured bacterium. Its description in RNAcentral is "partial 16S ribosomal RNA". It matches the Rfam family "Bacterial small subunit ribosomal RNA", at positions 29 to 506 of the family's 1533-position model. The record is from RNAcentral.